UGCCGGAGUGCUUGCACUUUGGCAGACUGAGUGGCGGACGGGUGAGUAACGCGUGGGUAACCUGCCUUAUACAGGGGGAUAACAGUUAGAAAUAGCUGCUAAUACCGCAUAAGCGCACGGUUCCGCAUGGAACAGUGUGAAAAACUCCGGUGGUGUGAGAUGGACCCGCGUCUGAUUAGCCAGUUGGCGGGGUAACGGCCCACCAAGGCAACGAUCAGUAGCCGGCCUGAGAGGGUGAACGGCCACAUUGGGACUGAGAUACGGCCCAGACUCC
Molecule: ribosomal RNA, 274 nt
Filed under: uncultured Eubacteriales bacterium
Lineage: Bacteria; Bacillati; Bacillota; Clostridia; Eubacteriales
Description: uncultured Clostridiales bacterium partial 16S ribosomal RNA
Rfam family: Bacterial small subunit ribosomal RNA
Source: RNAcentral